This 253-nucleotide ribosomal RNA is filed under the name uncultured bacterium. RNAcentral describes it as "partial 16S ribosomal RNA". It matches the Rfam family "Bacterial small subunit ribosomal RNA", at positions 524 to 776 of the family's 1533-position model. The record is from RNAcentral.
UACAGAGGGUGCAAGCGUUGUUCGGAAUUAUUGGGCGUAAAGCGCGUGUAGGCGGCUUUGCAAGUCGGGUGUGAAAGCCCUCAGCUUAACUGAGGAAGUGCGCCCGAAACUGCAGGGCUUGAGUACCGGAGAGGAUGGCGGAAUUCCCCAAGUAGAGGUGAAAUUCGUAGAUAUGGGGAGGAACACCGGUGGCGAAGGCGGCCAUCUGGACGGAUACUGACGCUGAGACGCGAAAGCGUGGGUAGCAAACAGG